Long non-coding RNA from Trachymyrmex cornetzi, 702 nucleotides. RefSeq lists it as uncharacterized. The record is from RefSeq and is a predicted model, not a curated record. Lineage: Eukaryota; Metazoa; Arthropoda; Insecta; Hymenoptera; Formicidae. The transcript has 4 exons.
AGUGAAUAGUGUGUUAAUCGAAUUGAGACCUUUGCUUCACGAGGAGGUUAUUUAUUGGAUCCGUCAUUUCUGCAUGCUGUGACUCUAUACGCUCUAUACUUUAGUCGGAAAACCAAACGAAGGGAAACCAAAUUAACCAAAAGGAGAAAGUGCGUAGUGAAUUACUCCCUGUACUCUGUGCCUCAUCUCGUUGAGACUAUGUUCAAGUGUUUUGGAAAGGUCUUAUUAGAUCACCACAUUCAUCUGUUAUCCAUGAAUAUUAUGCACGAAAAUGUAAAUCUGCUUUAACUGUUGAUGUCAUACUUACAAGUACAAUGAGAAGGGCAUUCAAAGCUUAUGUAUUCCAUUAGAAGUGCCUAGAGGGAAGAAAAAAGGUUCCAUGUUUACACACACACACACACACAUUGGUUAAAGUUCAGGAAUAUGAUAUCGACCGAAGAAAAGAAGUAUCAAGAAUGGAAUAUUAUAGAAACAAGGCAAUACAGACUGUAACAGAAGACUGAGCAAGACAAUAUAAAAUGAAAUUGGUAUCAAAGUAAAAGCAACAGUUUGUGACCAAGGUUCCACGCAAAGAAGAGCCCUAUCCGAAUUAUGUGCAGAGAAUAAGGUUGACCCAACUAGCUAUACGUUCGUAGUUAAUCAGGUCGCAGGCGAGCACACGGACAUGGGCUCGUGCUUAAGUGUGUGGCUACCGAUUUUGAC